CAGCCGCCACGGGAAUACGUAGGUGGCAAGCGUUGUCCGGAAUUAUUGGGCGUAAAGGGCUCGCAGGCGGUUUCUUAAGUCUGAUGUGAAAGCCCCCGGCUCAACCGGGGAGGGUCAUUGGAAACUGGGAAACUUGAGUGCAGAAGAGGAGAGUGGAAUUCCACGUGUAGCGGUGAAAUGCGUAGAGAUGUGGAGGAACACCAGUGGCGAAGGCGACUCUCUGGUCUGUAACUGACGCUGAGGAGCGAAAGCGUGGGGAGCGAACAGGAUUAGAUACCCCUGUAGUCCCUGUCUCUUAUAA
Molecule: ribosomal RNA, 301 nt
Filed under: uncultured bacterium
Lineage: Bacteria
Description: partial 16S ribosomal RNA
Rfam family: Bacterial small subunit ribosomal RNA
Source: RNAcentral